CGCCUCCGGGGAGCGCGCGGGCCGAGGCCGCCGAGUAGGACGCGGAGCCGGAGCGGCCAGCUGCUCCUUCCUGACCAUGGUCACCGAGAUGCGGUAGACGGUCUUCCUGGGGGGCGUCCCGCGCGACAUCGUGUCCGCGGGCGAAGACGCGGGUUCGCCGCUGCCGUCCAGCAGCUACACCUCCCCAAGUGUUCAUCCCCACCCCUUGUGAUACAGGAUUCAAAUACAGACAUCAACCCAGCUCUUGAGACCAUCUUCAGACCACAGACGUGCUGCUACAGUCUUCCUGUUUACAGGUCCAAGAAGAAAGUGCAUUAUAUGGAGGACCCACUAAUCAGUGCCGAUGGGAUCUCCUCUUGGCCCACAAAGGCCAGGGCUUCCUGGAGGCUACACCUAGGCAAGGUACAGGUGGCUGGGAAAGUCAGGCAUUUCUAAGGUCUCUCCAGCUCCUCACCACAAAAUGUGGGAGGUGCCUGUGGUGUUCAUGCCAAUGACAGUGAGGGAAGGAUGAAUGGAUGAGUCAGGUCUCCUGAAAGAACUGAAGUCUAUGAAACCUGGAUUUUAAUGGAAAACUAUUAGAAACGCUCCUACGUGACUCAUUUACUUCUUGCCUGCAUGAGGGCAAGCACAUGUGGGGUAGGAAUAUAUGGGGGAGGUGCAUAUGCACAUGAAGGCCCCAGGGGAUGUCAGGAGCCUUCCUCUCAACAACUCCUCCUUUUAUACAUUAAGGCAGGUUAUCUCACUUGAACCAAGAACUUGAUCUGGCUAGUCUAGCUAGCCAGCUUGUUCUGCAGCUCUCCCGAUCUCUGGCUCUCAAUGCUGGGAUUACAGGUGGGCUACCACAUCUACCGGACGCCUAAGUGGAUACUGAGAGUCCAAAGCCCUGCCCUGAUGGCAGUCUUUCUCCCACUCAGCCAUCUCUCCAACCUAUAUUCAUUCUCAAAGAUCUCAAAAUAUUUUCAAUAUCUUCUUCUACCUCUAUUUCAAGAUCCCUAACCAUCUGUUAUGGGCAAGGGAUCCCUUCCGUUUGUAACUCUCGGUCUCUCCAAUGGUCCUUCAAGCAGGCCAUUCAAAGGGCCAGGCCAUGAUAUCUAUCCUGUUUCAAUAAAGCAGCUCUCUCUCAUCAACUCAAGAGCCACCAGCUGUUGUAGGAUGGAAGUCAAGCACGGAGCCUGUUAAAAUGUCUACCUGUACCCAGUCAGGAGGACGCUGAGGCUCAGUGGCUCAAGCUGAGUCCCCCAGGACUGCACUCAAGUCUUCUGCUUCAGUGGCUUCAUUAGCAACCAAGAGCUAAAGAAGUGCGACCAGCACUGGCCUAAGCGCCAUGAAAAAUUAAACUUCCUGGUAUUACCAGGAUGUAUUAUUAACA
This is a long non-coding RNA of Mastomys coucha (southern multimammate mouse), 1369 nucleotides long. RefSeq lists it as uncharacterized. The transcript has 2 exons. The record is from RefSeq and is a predicted model, not a curated record. Lineage: Eukaryota; Metazoa; Chordata; Mammalia; Rodentia; Muridae.